RNAcentral lists this ribosomal RNA (492 nucleotides) under uncultured bacterium. RNAcentral describes it as "partial 16S ribosomal RNA". It matches the Rfam family "Bacterial small subunit ribosomal RNA", at positions 29 to 507 of the family's 1533-position model. The record is from RNAcentral.
AGUGAACGCUGGCGGUAGGCCUAACACAUGCAAGUCGAACGGCAGCACAGUAAGAGCUUGCUCUUACGGGUGGCGAGUGGCGGACGGGUGAGGAAUACAUCGGAAUCUACUUUUUCGUGGGGGAUAACGUAGGGAAACUUACGCUAAUACCGCAUACGACCUACGGGUGAAAGCAUGGGAUCUUCUGACCUUGCGCGAUUGAAUGAGCCGAUGUCGGAUUAGCUAGUUGGCGGGGUAAAGGCCCACCAAGGCGACGAUCCGUAGCUUGUCUGAGAGGAUGAUCAGCCAAACUGGAACUGAGACACGGUCCAGACAACUACGGGAGGCAGCAGUGGGGAAUAUUGGACAAUGGGCGGAAGCCUGAUACAGCAAUACCGCGUGGGUGAAGAAGGCCUUCGGGUUGUAAAGCCCUUUUGUUGGGAAAGAAAAGAAGCAGGUUAAUACCCCGCUGUUCUGACGGUACCCAAAGAAUAAGCACCGGCUAACUUCGUG